CAGUAGCCACGGUAAUACGUAGGGUGCAAGCGUUAAUCGGAAUUACUGGGCGUAAAGCGUGCGCAGGCGGUUAUAUAAGACAGAUGUGAAAUCCCCGGGCUCAACCUGGGAACUGCAUUUGUGACUGUAUAGCUAGAGUACGGCAGAGGGGGAUGGAAUUCCGCGUGUAGCAGUGAAAUGCGUAGAUAUGCGGAGGAACACCGAUGGCGAAGACAGCCCCCUGGGCCAAUACUGACGCUCAUGCACGAAAGCGUGGGGAGCAAACAGGAUUAGAUACCCGGGUAGUCCCUGUCUCUUAUAC
Molecule: ribosomal RNA, 301 nt
Filed under: uncultured bacterium
Lineage: Bacteria
Description: partial 16S ribosomal RNA
Rfam family: Bacterial small subunit ribosomal RNA
Source: RNAcentral